RNAcentral lists this ribosomal RNA (497 nucleotides) under uncultured bacterium. RNAcentral's name for it is "partial 16S ribosomal RNA". It matches the Rfam family "Bacterial small subunit ribosomal RNA", at positions 28 to 507 of the family's 1533-position model. The record is from RNAcentral.
GAUGAACGCUGGCGGCGUGCCUAAUACAUGCAAGUCGAGCGAACGGAUGAGAAGCUUGCUUCUCUGAUGUUAGCGGCGGACGGGUGAGUAACACGUGGAUAACCUACCUAUAAGACUGGGAUAACUUCGGGAAACCGGAGCUAAUACCGGAUAAUAUUUUGAACCGCAUGGUUCAAAAGUGAAAGACGGUCUUGCUGUCACUUAUAGAUGGAUCCGCGCUGCAUUAGCUAGUUGGUAAGGUAACGGCUUACCAAGGCAACGAUGCAUAGCCGACCUGAGAGGGAGAUCGGCCACACUGGAACUGAGACACGGUACAGACUCCUACGGGAGGCAGCAGUAGGGAAUCUUCCGCGAUGGGCGAAAGCCUGACGGAGCAACGCCGCGUGAGUGAUGAAGGUCUUCGGAUCGUAAAACUCUGUUAUUAGGGAAGAACAUAUGUGUAAGUAACUGUGCACAUCUUGACGGUACCUAAUCAGAAAGCCACGGCUAACUACGUG